This 744-nucleotide ribosomal RNA is filed under the name uncultured bacterium. RNAcentral describes it as "bacterial SSU rRNA". It matches the Rfam family "Bacterial small subunit ribosomal RNA", at positions 60 to 816 of the family's 1533-position model. The record is from RNAcentral.
AGUUGAGCGGAGAUAUAUGGAGCUUGCUUUAUAUAACUUAGCAGCGAACGGGUGAGUAACACGUAGAUAAUCUAUCCUAUACUGGGGGAUAGCCCGAUGAAAGUUGGAUUAAUACCGCAUAUAGCUAUAUAGUUGCAUGAUUAUGUAGUGAAAGAUUUAUUGGUAUAGGAGGAGUCUGCGGCACAUUAGCUAGUAGGUGAGGUAAAGGCUUACCUAGGCGACGAUGUGUAGCCGGUCUGAGAGGAUGAACGGCCACAAUGGAACUGAGACACGGUCCAUACUCCUACGGGAGGCAGCAGUGGGGAAUAUUGCACAAUGGGGGAAACCCUGAUGCAGCAACGCCGCGUGAGUGAAGAAGGUUUUCGGAUUGUAAAGCUCUGUUAGCAGGGAAGAGGAAGGACGGUACCUGCAGAGGAAGCCACGGCUAACUACGUGCCAGCAGCCGCGGUAAUACGUAGGUGGCAAGCGUUGUUCGGAAUAACUGGGCGUAAAGGAUGCGUAGGCGGUUAAACAAGUUAUAUGUUAAAUAUAUAGGCUUAACCUGUAGAAAGCAUAUAAAACUGUUUAACUAGAGUGCAGGAGAGGUAAGUGGAAUUCCUAGUGUAGCGGUGAAAUGCGUAGAGAUUAGGAAGAACACCAGUGGCGAAGGCGACUUACUGGACUGUAACUGACGCUGAGGCAUGAGAGCAUGGGGAGCAAACAGGAUUAGAUACCCUGGUAGUCCAUGCUGUAAACGAUGGGUAC